GCUAUCUGAAAGCCUUUAAAAUCUUUAUAUCUUUUUCUUAAAACAUACAUAUAUAUAGAUGAAAAAAUAAUAAAAUUCAUGUUUCAUAAUCAUGCUAUUUUCAUAAAAUAUGUUCAUGAAAUCAAUGAUCAUAAUAAAAUAUACUUUUUCAUAUAACAUAUGCUGAUCAUUAUUUUAUGAAAAAUAUGAUUUCAUCAACAAUAAUUCUUUGCAUAAAAAAUAUGAUUAUUUAAAAUAAAUAAGCAGCGUAAGAUCGACUUACCU
This 264-nucleotide long non-coding RNA is filed under the name Elaeis guineensis (African oil palm). RNAcentral's name for it is "long non-coding RNA (EGUI_LNC013954)". The record is from RNAcentral. Lineage: Eukaryota; Viridiplantae; Streptophyta; Magnoliopsida; Arecales; Arecaceae.